Molecule: unclassified non-coding RNA, 471 nt
Filed under: Bartsia alpina
Lineage: Eukaryota; Viridiplantae; Streptophyta; Magnoliopsida; Lamiales; Orobanchaceae
Description: partial external transcribed spacer
Source: RNAcentral
GCAUAUGACUACUGGCAGGAUCAACCAGGUAGCAUUCCUUAUCGACAUCGAGACCCGUAUGAGCCAAGCCACGAGGACUCGUUCAACACGUGCACAAUAGUCGUUCGCACGAAGCGUCGGACGCUCGAUUUGGGGCAAAACAAGGUCAAAGACCUUGUACCCGCUCAAUGUUCCGUAUCCGAAAGACCACGCACAACAUCAUGGCCCAACAUCCCAAACACACAUAAGUGGAAUAGGAAGUGGAACACGAUGCGUGCUACCAAGUCCACCCAACGCCGCAUCCCCAAGGGGUACAACACUAGAUGGAUGAUCAAAGAUUCCAACAAACGAAUGCCCUGAACGUAGGAAUUCAGCACAGGAAACCAAAACCGGACGAGACAUGCUCAUUCCAACAACUGAAGAGGGAUGCACGACACGUUGUCGCUGCUCAAGCAAGGAUCCAACGUGCCCAUACAAACCAAUCACCACUCA